GUGCCACGAGCUUCGUUGAUAUAAGGACCUUCCAAAAUACUAUGUACGAAACAUUCAGAGAGGCGUGCGAAGCCCGUGGUUUGCUCGAAGGUGACAAUGAGUGGAACCUACUAUUUGAUGAGGCAAUAGUCUCUGCCUCGGCGUUUCAACUUCGACAAAUGUUCGUUACCAUUGUCGUUCAUUGUCCUAUUUGCAAUGUUCGUGCUUUGUUUGACAAAUAUUGGAUCUACUUUACCGAUGACAUACAACGUGGUCUUAGAGAAGCCCUUGGCAACCCGCACUACACAGCUCCACAUGAACAACUUCUUACGUUGCUUUUGAGGAAGCUAGCAGAC
Molecule: unclassified non-coding RNA, 335 nt
Filed under: Zea mays
Lineage: Eukaryota; Viridiplantae; Streptophyta; Magnoliopsida; Poales; Poaceae
Description: misc RNA Zm00001eb319900
Source: RNAcentral